RNAcentral lists this ribosomal RNA (1465 nucleotides) under Malkaridae sp. LB-2014k. RNAcentral's name for it is "SSU rRNA". It matches the Rfam family "Eukaryotic small subunit ribosomal RNA". Lineage: Eukaryota; Metazoa; Arthropoda; Arachnida; Araneae; Malkaridae. The record is from RNAcentral.
GGCGAAACCGCGAAUGGCUCAUUAAAUCAGUUAUGGUUCCUUGGAUCGUACCUUACUACUUGGAUAACUGUGGCAAUUCUAGAGCUAAUACAUGCAGCAGAGCUCCGACCUUCGGGGACGAGCGCUUUUAUUAGACCAAAACCAAUCGGGCCUCGUGUCCGUCUUGUGUGGUGACUCUGUAUAACUUUGGGCUGAUCGCAUGGGCUUGUCCCGGCGACGUAUCUUUCAAGUGUCUGCCUUAUCAACUGUCGAUGGUAGGUUACGCGCCUACCAUGGUCGUAACGGGUGACGGGGAAUCAGGGUUCGGUUCCGGAGAGGGAGCCUGAGAAACGGCUACCACAUCCAAGGAAGGCAGCAGGCGCGCAAAUUACCCAAUCCCGGAACGGGGAGGUAGUGACGAAAAAUAACAAUACGGGACUCUUUUGAGACCCCGUAAUUGGAAUGAGUACACUCUAAACCAUUUCACGAGUACCAAUAGGAGGACAAGUCUGGUGCCAGCACCCGCGGUAACUCCAGCUCCUAUAGCGUAUAUUAAAGUUGUUGCGGUUAAAAAGCUCGUAGUUGGAUCUCAGUUCCAGACGGGCGGUCCGCCUACCGGCGGCUACUGCCUGAUCUGAACAGCAGAGUCGGUUUCCUUUGAUGAUCUUCAUCGGUUGUCAUCGGUGACCGGCAAGUUUACUUUGAAAAAAUUAGAGUGCUCAAAGCAGGCGUGACGCCUGGAUAAUGGUGCAUGGAAUAAUGGAAUAGGACCUCGUUUCUAUUUUGUUGGUUUUCGGAACACGAGGUAAUGAUUAAGAGGGACAGACGGGGGCAUUCGUACUUAAAGGAAUUGACGGAGGGGCACCACCAGAGAUGGAGCCUGCGGCUCAAUUUGACUCAACACGGGGAAACUUACCCGGCCCGGACGCAGGAAGGAUUGACAGAUUAAGAGCUCUUUCUUGAUUCUGCGGGUAGUGGUGCAUGGCCGUUCCUAGUUGGUGGAGCGAUUUGUCUGGUCAAUUCCGAUAACGAACGAGAUCCUAGCCUGCUAAAUAGACGUUCCGAUCCUUCCAGUCGGACGUUCUUCUUAGAGGGACAAGUGGCGUUCAGCCGCACGAGACAGAGCAAUAACAGGUCUGUAAUGCCCUUAGAUGUCCGGGGCCGCACGCGCGCUACAUUGAAGGAAUCAGCGUGUGCUUUCCCGGUCCGACAGGACUGGGUAACCCGUUGAACCUCCUUCGUGCUGGGGAUAGGGGCUUGUAACUGUUCCCCUUGAACGAGGAAUCUCCAGUAAGCGCGAGUCAUAAGCUCGUGUUGAUUAAGUCCCUGCCUCUUGUACACACCGCCCGUCGCUACCCCCGAUCGAAUGAUUUAGUGAGGUCUUCGGACUGGCGCUCGGAUUGGCCUUUAUCGGGUCGAGCCGGCGUGCCGGAAAGAUAACCGAACUUGAUCAUUUAGAGGAGGUAAAAGUCGUAACAAGGUUUCC